CCUAUGACAGACAAGGCAAGCUCUACUCUCAGAAGCAAAAAUUAUAUAUCUAGGAGUCAGAGUAUGAAUCAAGAAGAAUGGACUUCUGCUUCUUAUCUACCUAAUGCCAGAUAAUGAUGACAGCAAUGCAUUUUCUACAUUCAUAUCCUCAAUCAUAUGUUUUUGAAUGCUUACUGGAAAACCGGUUUAAAAGAAAGGUGACUAGUUAUUGGUCUUGCUCUGACAGCCGUGGAAACCAUUUGCUGAUGAAAGCACAAGCAACAACAACAAAAAAGAUGAAUAAACUGGAUUUCAACAAAAACACAUUUGUGCUUCAGAGAACAUAAUCAAGAAAGUGAAAAGGCAACCCACCAAUGGGAGAACACAGUUUCAAAACAUAUAUCUAAUAAAAUAUUUGAGUCCAGAUUAUCUAA
Molecule: long non-coding RNA, 413 nt
Organism: Homo sapiens (human)
Lineage: Eukaryota; Metazoa; Chordata; Mammalia; Primates; Hominidae
Gene: NAALADL2-AS3
Product: NAALADL2 antisense RNA 3
Source: Ensembl